Molecule: non-coding RNA, 252 nt
Organism: Fulmarus glacialis (Northern fulmar)
Lineage: Eukaryota; Metazoa; Chordata; Aves; Procellariiformes; Procellariidae
Source: the annotation of a RefSeq genome assembly
GUUCCCUGGUCCAGGCAGCGCUGACUCAGCCGCCCUCGGUGUCGGCGAACCCAGGACAAACCGUCCAGAUCACCUGCUCCGGUGGUGGCAGCUACUAUGGCUGGGACCAAGAGACAACACUUGGGUACGUGCCACUCUCCAUGGCCACACUACCCAUCCCUGGAGUCCAAGCCGAGGCAGAUGCUGUCUCUUACUGUGCCAGCUGGGAUAACUGUGCUGAUCGGGGUCACGGUGACUCCCCGCACGGGGGAA